GACGAACGCUGGCGGCGUGCCUAAUACAUGCAAGUUGAGCGCUGAAGGUUGGUACUUGUACCAACUGGAUGAGCAGCGAACGGGUGAGUAACGCGUGGGGAAUCUGCCUUUGAGCGGGGGACAACAUUUGGAAACGAAUGCUAAUACCGCAUAAAAACUUUAAACACAAGUUUUAAGUUUGAAAGAUGCAAUUGCAUCACUCAAAGAUGAUCCCGCGUUGUAUUAGCUAGUUGGUGAGGUAAAGGCUCACCGAGGCGAUGAUACAUAGCCGACCUGAGAGGGUGGGCGGCCACAUUGGGACUGAGACACGGCCCAAACUCCUACGGGAGGCAGCAGUAGGGAAUCUUCGGCAAUGGACGAAAGUCUGACCAAGCAACGCCGCGUGAGUGAAGAAGGUUUUCGGAUCGUAAAACUCUGUUGGUAGAGAAGAACGUUGGUGAGAGUGGAAAGCUCAUCAAGUGACGGUAACUACCCAGAAAGGGACGGCUAACUACGUG
RNAcentral lists this ribosomal RNA (497 nucleotides) under uncultured bacterium. RNAcentral's name for it is "partial 16S ribosomal RNA". It matches the Rfam family "Bacterial small subunit ribosomal RNA", at positions 28 to 507 of the family's 1533-position model. The record is from RNAcentral.